UCGGCGUGCUUAACACAUGCAAGUCGAGGGGCAUCAGGAAGAAAGCUUGCUUUCUUUGCUGGCGACCGGCGCACGGGUGAGUAACACGUAUCCAACCUGCCCUUUACUCGGGGAUAGCCUUUCGAAAGAAAGAUUAAUACCCGAUGGCAUAAUGAUUCCGCAUGGUUUCAUUAUUAAAGGAUUCCGGUAAAGGAUGGGGAUGCGUUCCAUUAGGUUGUUGGUGAGGUAACGGCUCACCAAGCCUUCGAUGGAUAGGGGUUCUGAGAGGAAGGUCCCCCACAUUGGAACUGAGACACGGUCCAAACUCCUACGGGAGGCAGCAGUGAGGAAUAUUGGUCAAUGGGCGCUAGCCUGAACCAGCCAAGUAGCGUGAAGGAUGAAGGCUCUAUGGGUCGUAAACUUCUUUUAUAUAAGAAUAAAGUGCAGUAUGUAUACUGUUUUGUAUGUAUUAUAUGAAUAAGGAUCGGCUAACUCCGUGCCAGCAGCCGCGGUAAUACGGAGGAUCCGAGCGUUAUCCGGAUUUAUUGGGUUUAAAGGGAGCGUAGGUGGACUGGUAAGUCAGUUGUGAAAGUUUGCGGCUCAACCGUAAAAUUGCAGUUGAUACUGUCAGUCUUGAGUACAGUAGAGGUGGGCGGAAUUCGUGGUGUAGCGGUGAAAUGCUUAGAUAUCACGAAGAACUCCGAUUGCGAAGGCAGCUCACUGGACUGCAACUGACACUGAUGCUCGAAAGUGUGGGUAUCAAACAGGAUUAGAUACCCUGGUAGUCCACACAGUAAACGAUGAAUACUCGCUGUUUGCGAUAUACAGUAAGCGGCCAAGCGAAAGCAUUAAGUAUUCCACCUGGGGAGUACGCCGGCAACGGUGAAACUCAAAGGAAUUGACGGGGGCCCGCACAAGCGGAGGAACAUGUGGUUUAAUUCGAUGAUACGCGAGGAACCUUACCCGGGCUUAAAUUGCAGUGGAAUGAUGUGGAAACAUGUCAGUGAGCAAUCACCGCUGUGAAGGUGCUGCAUGGUUGUCGUCAGCUCGUGCCGUGAGGUGUCGGCUUAAGUGCCAUAACGAGCGCAACCCUUAUCUUUAGUUACUAACAGGUUAUGCUGAGGACUCUAGAGAGACUGCCGUCGUAAGAUGUGAGGAAGGUGGGGAUGACGUCAAAUCAGCACGGCCCUUACGUCCGGGGCUACACACGUGUUACAAUGGGGGGUACAGAAGGCAGCUAGCGGGUGACCGUAUGCUAAUCCCAAAAGCCUCUCUCAGUUCGGAUCGAAGUCUGCAACCCGACUUCGUGAAGCUGGAUUCGCUAGUAAUCGCGCAUCAGCCACGGCGCGGUGAAUACGUUCCCGGGCCUUGUACACACCGCCCGUCAAGCCAUGGGAGCCGGGGGUACCUGAAGUACGUAACCGCAAGGAUCGUCCUAGGGUAAAACUGGUGACUGGGGC
This 1439-nucleotide ribosomal RNA is filed under the name uncultured organism. Its description in RNAcentral is "SSU rRNA". It matches the Rfam family "Bacterial small subunit ribosomal RNA". The record is from RNAcentral.